Molecule: small nuclear RNA, 107 nt
Filed under: Octodon degus (degu)
Lineage: Eukaryota; Metazoa; Chordata; Mammalia; Rodentia; Octodontidae
Source: RNAcentral
GUGCUCGCUUCGGCAGCACAUGUACCAAAAUUAGAACGAUACAGAGAAGAUUAGCAUGGCCCCUGUGCAAGGAUGGCAUGCAAAUUCGUGAAGCGCUCCAUAUUUAA